GGCUCUAUAGUGUAGUGGUUAUCACCUCGGAUUCUGACUUUAGUCACAUUCCGGUAACUCCAGUUCGACUCUGGAUAGGGCCU
This is a non-coding RNA of Ceratobasidium sp. 394, 83 nucleotides long. The record is from the annotation of a GenBank genome assembly. Lineage: Eukaryota; Fungi; Basidiomycota; Agaricomycetes; Cantharellales; Ceratobasidiaceae.